This 2365-nucleotide long non-coding RNA is filed under the name Solanum tuberosum (potato). Its description in RNAcentral is "long non-coding RNA (STUB_LNC005200)". The record is from RNAcentral. Lineage: Eukaryota; Viridiplantae; Streptophyta; Magnoliopsida; Solanales; Solanaceae.
AAAUGGAAAUUGAAGAACUAGAAGAAAGGGAUGAGAGUCAGAACUGGUCAAAGAAAGGGGAUGAGGAAUACAGAUACUCCAUAACAGUUUUGCCUAAAAACCCUUCUUUCUCAUCCUUCAUCUAAUUAACUAGUUGUUUAUUGGGCCCGGGUCCCAAACCAACCUUUGUGAAGGCCUUCUAAUUUUGCUGCUUCUUUUCGGCUUAAUAACUAGUUAUGUGGCCUCCGUAUAGGUAUUGACAUUGGGCCGAGGCUGGUUCAUAACAAUACUCCCAUCCUCAAUAAGAACCUUGUCCUCAAGGUUCGAGUCGAGAACAAUGUUAGUAGCGUGCACCCGGAAGUUGUAGCGAAGAGAAACAAAUUGUUCGAGUGCAAGCAGGCUCUUUCCAAACACAACUGUAGUGUAAGCUUUAGCACCCUUGCGGAGACGUGCAUACUCAAAAGGAGAAUACAUGACCCAAGAAGUAACCAAGUCACUGACAUGUGCCUUGUCUCCUCUGUAAUUAGUGACACCAAAUUCACUGAAGGGUUAUGCGCAAGACCUUUCCAUUGCAUAGCUUCCUGAAGCUUAAAAACAUAAGCACAAUCUGGACCAAUGUGUUCAAUUAGUGCAUUCCACUGCCUUUGCCAUAUAUGUUGCACUAGACUGACAUGAUUGAGUGCUAAGAGAAACUCCAAGGAACUAUAAAAAUGUUCCGAUGCAUCAGUGCCUACAUGUUUCCGCCCAAUACCAUAAAUUUGUUCAUUUCACAAUGUAACUAUGCAAAAAUAAGUAGAAACAAAACUACUAUUUGGAAACAUAUUCCCACUGGCACCACAGGAUAGAGUAAUAUCAUGUAUACCAGGGUCAAAAGGACGAUUUGUAAAGGUGAGAGAAACAAUGAAACCUGGUGAGAAAUAAGAAUAAGGUUGAAGAGUCAUGCUCCAGCCAAAAUUGGUGUUUGGCGAAAGGAUGUAUAGAGCCUUUGUGAAAUUAUUGCACACAAAAUAAGAAGUAGAACUCAACAUCAUCCAUUUGUUCUGCCUUCGUGCAGCCCCUCAACUGGUUCCCCACUAGCCACUCCAAUAUCUUGAUACCAAGAACCCUUGGAUGUGGCUCACCAGCAUUUUGAGUAGCAAAUUGUGAGCAACCCAUUCCCAAGCUGUGUUUGGGCCGAGAAGUAUGUUGCCCAGUGUCAAACCAAUCGCAAGGGGUUAAGCCAUUUUUCACGCUCACACACAAUGCUAGAUCCCUAAAAUCAUGAGGCAUCAAGGGCAAACAGAGCUGGGCGAAUAGGCAUGGGUAAAACUCGACAAUCACAUUAUCUUCUAUAGGAAUGAUAAGUGAAGUCUCUACCUCGUUUUUGUCUUUAUUUUCAACAAUAACAGCAUAGUCAUUGGCCACAUCACACGGGAAAAUAGGAUGUUCAGGAUCAGUAGGGAAAUGUGUGUCAAUAGUAUAUUUGGUCAUCGUACGCAUCUUAUGUGGUUCCAGUAUAGCACCUUUAGACCUAUCAGAAAAUUGAUCAAACACCUGACCUGCAUUACUUUCGAAUUCUGAUAGCUUAGCAUAAUGUUGUGGCAAAAGUGAGUUGGUUAUGUUGCUCCCUCUCACAGACUCAAGUUCUUUUGGUUUAAAUCGAAUUCUCACCUUAGCAGCAAAAUGUGGCCAAUCAAUUAACUGAUUGUUCCUAAAUAACCAUCGGUACCAGUCUAAUGCUUCACCAUCAAGGUAGAAUGAUGCCAUGGUAAGCUUUUGAUCUUCCUCAAUAUUGUAGAAAUCAAAAUAAUGCUCCACUUGGGCUAUCCAAGCCUCCAGAUUCUCACCUCGAAACUGCCAUAAUUUAGCAUCCAUAACUGUGUUUGGGGGUUGAAAAGAGGUUGUAACAUUUUUCCCCAAAGCCUCCAGCAGCACGGAACGAAAUUCAGCGAGAUCUUUAGAGGGUUGGGGAUACCAUGCACACUGAGUCUGCAAAUAAUUUAUAACAUUAGAUGAAAUAAGUAAUUUGAUAAAUAAUAUAAAGAAUUAAUCUAUGUGUAUGUAACAAACUCAAUAACUAGACCAAUGCAAUUCAAACUAAAACAACCGAUAGAUAUAUUUCACUAACUCGUAAUGAAAUUACAAAGGAAUCCAAGUAGUAAAAAUGGAAAUUGAAGAACUAGAAGAAAGGGAUGAGAGUCAGAACUGGUCAAAGAAAGGGGAUGAGGAAUACAGAUACUCCAUAACAGUUUUGCCUAAACCCUUCUUUCUCAUCCUUCAUCUAAUUAACUAGUUGUUUAUUGGGCCCGGGUCCCAAACCAACCUUUGUGAAGGCCUUCUAAUUUUGCUGCUUCUUUUCGGCUUAAUAACUAGUUAUGUGGCCUCCGUAUAGGUAUUGACAUUGGGC